AGAUUGAACGCUGGCGGCAUGCCUAACACAUGCAAGUCGAACGGGAGUAGCAAUACUCUAGUGGCGGACGGGUGAGGAAUACGUAGGAAUUUGCCCUUAAGUGGGGGAUAACCCGGGGAAACCCGGAUUAAUACCGCAUGACCUCGAAAGAGCAAAGUGGGGGAUCGCAAGACCUCACGCUUUUGGAGAAGCCUACGUCGGAUUAGCUAGUUGGUGAGGUAAUGGCUCACCAAGGCGACGAUCCGUAACUGGUCUGAGAGGAUGAUCAGUCACACCGGAACUGAGACACGGUCCGGACUCCUACGGGAGGCAGCGAGUGGGGAAUA
This 326-nucleotide ribosomal RNA is filed under the name uncultured soil bacterium. RNAcentral's name for it is "bacterial SSU rRNA". It matches the Rfam family "Bacterial small subunit ribosomal RNA", at positions 26 to 363 of the family's 1533-position model. The record is from RNAcentral.